UACGGGGGGGGCAAGCGUUAAUCGGAAUUACUGGGCGUAAAGCGUGCGUAGGCGGUUCUCCAAGUCCGUUGUGAAAGCCCCGGGCUCAACCUGGGAAUGGCAGUGGAAACUAGGGGACUGGAAUCUGGCAGAGGGGGGUGGAAUGCCGCGUGUAGCAGUGAAAUGCGUAGAGAUGCGGCGGAACACCGAUGGCGAAGGCAGCCCCCUGGGCUGAGAUUGACGCUCAGGCACGAAAGCGUGGGGAGCAAACAGG
This 253-nucleotide ribosomal RNA is filed under the name uncultured bacterium. RNAcentral describes it as "partial 16S ribosomal RNA". It matches the Rfam family "Bacterial small subunit ribosomal RNA", at positions 524 to 776 of the family's 1533-position model. The record is from RNAcentral.